ACAAGAGAAUUAUUUUGUCUAUCAAAAACUAAAGAUAAGUACAAAAACAUAUUUACAUUUUUAUUAAAUAAUGUAAAAUUUAAGAGCAUUUUUGUUUCUUAGGAUUAAUCAGUCUAAUUUAAACACAUGAUCGAUUUAAAAUAUCUGUACAUUUUUUAUUUCUAAAAAAAAAUUUUAAAGUUAUGAAAUAAAUUAAAUAAAAAAUGUUGUUUUUGUUUAGGACCAGUUCAGAGAAAGAUGGGUGAAACUUAAAAUAGGAUUGAGCCAAAGUUGAACCAGUCUGUUGGGACAUUUUUCGUAUUUACAAUAAGUAAGAAGACAAAGAAGAUUUCCUUAACUAAUAAUGCACAGAUCCUUUUUCUUGGCUCAUGGACUUCUUUUCCAGGAAGACAAAGAUAGCUAGAUUUUUGAAAGGAAUGUUAUCCGUCUACGGUCUGAGUCAACAUGGCCUUCUGUGCCCUGAAUGUGAUAUCUUUGUUAAAAAAUAAAAAAAAAUUAAAAAAGAAUUUUAAAAAAAAAUAAAAUUAAAAUUUUUGUAAAUUUUUAGAAAAAAAAAUUUUUUGAAUUUGAAUUUUUUGAUUCUGUAAACGUAUUUUACGUUAAUAUAAGUUUGUAAAAAAUAAAAAAAAUAAUUGUAAACAUUCAAAAAAUAAAUUGAAUUUAUUUUAAGUUUGUAAAAAAAAAUUUACAUACAUGUAUUGUUGUAUCGUAGUUUUAGAGUACAAAUUUUGUAUGUUUGUAAAAAAAAUUUAAAAAAAAUAUUUUGUGCUGUUUUAUAACCUAAUUAUACAAAUGUAUAGAUAAAUUAAUGCGUAGAGUUUUUUGUAAUGAAAAAAAAAAUUAUCAAUAAAUAUUCAAUAAAUUACAUCUUAAUUUUAUUUACAUUUUUGGAUGUUCAUUUUUUCUGCUCUACGGGUCGUUUUGAUGGUCGGAUCGAUGAAUGGAAAAUGGAAUUUAGGUUGACACAGUUUUUUAGGUGGUUUUGGCGGUUACUAGGUUACUGGUGAAGGUCGUGAGCGUAACGGUACCGGUUGUGGGAAGGUGGAUGUUAUCUUCCAGCUGGGUGGUCUUUUUUACGACGAUUUUAUUUUUUUUAUUUUUUGAAGACUACCUGAGCACUUUUAAAGCCAAAAUUGUGCUUUUUAAACUGAGUCAAGAGGUAGAAAAUUCGCGAAUAUUUCGAGUUUUUAUUUAAUUUAAUUCAAACCAUUUUCCAUUAAAAAAUCAGUCUGAUUUUUCUAAAAAAAAAUUUAGAGGGUAAUUUUUUGUAAUCAAUCACUUUUUAUACAAUAAAUAAAAUUAUUCAAAACUUCAGAAAAUCUAAAAAACGAAAAAUUAUAAGUUUUG
This is a long non-coding RNA of Planococcus citri (citrus mealybug), 1347 nucleotides long. RefSeq lists it as uncharacterized. The transcript has 3 exons. Lineage: Eukaryota; Metazoa; Arthropoda; Insecta; Hemiptera; Pseudococcidae. The record is from RefSeq and is a predicted model, not a curated record.